CGAGUCCCUCAAGGCUGCCUUUAUCACUUACCUGCAGGCCAAGCAAGCAGCAGGGAUUAUCAAUGUCCCCAAUCCUGGCUCCAAUCAGGUUGGUCCAUUGUCCUAUCCUACUCCCAAGUAGAACCGGUUUAGGGCAGGGCAGGAGGGCUGGUCUACCAGAUAGGGUGGAUAUUCUCGUACUAACCAGAAUACCCCAGGAGUUGCUAGAGGAGGUGGGCAUGUAAGUAACAUGGGUAAUGGCCACCAAUUGCCCAUCCUGGAGAGGGGGGCUAGGGGACAGCUGAGGGAGGGGUAGUGUACACCUUGAACUGUAGAGCUGGUAACAUGGCACCAAGCCCUGAUGCCCUGCCUACCAGGCACAAGCGGGGUGGGAGGGUCACGGAAGAUGGUGGUUCCCACUCUCUCUCUCCUUCCCCAGCCCGCCUAUGUGCUGCAGAUCUUCCCACCCUGUGAGUUCUCCGAGAGCCACCUCUCCCGGCUGGCCCCUGACCUCCUUGCCAGCAUCUCCAACAUCUCUCCCCACCUCAUGAUUGUCAUUGCCUCAGUGUGAGGCUCUGAAUGGUCGCCACCUCAGGGCGUUUUCCUGAGGCUCUGCUGCAAAAAAAUAAAUAAAUAAAUAAAAUAAAAUAAAAAAAUGAACACAGGACAGAACCAUGGACAACCCAGCCAGGCAGAGGGGAAGCUGCUGAGGGGCAGACUGCCAGGCGCCACCAGCUGCCCUCGCCCUCGUGCCCGCCCAGCUCUAUGGAUCGACCUCCUCUGGGGGUGGUGCUGCUUGUAUGUUUACAUGAAAUUCUCGCCCAGGACAGACCACCGACCCAUGGACUCGCAGAAACCUUAGGGGCUGGGUUUCUCUCCUCACCUGGAGAAAAGGAACCGGGCUGUGGGAUUCUUCUGUUUUGUUAAA
This 907-nucleotide long non-coding RNA is filed under the name Rattus norvegicus (Norway rat). RNAcentral describes it as "long non-coding RNA NONRATT023788". Lineage: Eukaryota; Metazoa; Chordata; Mammalia; Rodentia; Muridae. The record is from RNAcentral.